Non-coding RNA from Drosophila melanogaster (fruit fly), 1547 nucleotides. NCBI's taxonomy places the organism in Eukaryota, Metazoa, Arthropoda, Insecta, Diptera, Drosophilidae. The record is from Ensembl.
AGUGUUAAACGAAUGCUCUAAGCAAACGGUUCACUGGAGUUGUAGGUUUUUACAAGCAAAACCCCUUGAAGUGUGAGCGAAACACGAGAAUAUGAUUUAAUUUUUAUACACUAAAUAUAAUGCUGCUUCUUUUUUUUCGAUUUCGUUUAAGCCGCAUAAAUCACUGAAACGCGCACCUUAUUGCAGAUUUAUUCUUCAAAAAUUGGUGUGAAACAAAUGGGGUUAAAAGUUGUUCAAACAAAGGGGAAUUUGAAAGGCUUAAGCACAGACACACAUUAUAAUAGACCUUCAUAAAUGCCACAAUACAUCAUUUAAGCACACAUAGUGAUUUUCAAAAAGCUGCUCGUGAACUAAGGGUUUAAGUACUAACUAAAACAGUAAGGGAUAAGCUUUGAAUACAGAUUAUAAAACAGUUAAUGGGCCCUAAAUUUAUUUAUUGUUUACUUAUCGAAUAAUGCAUGCAAUUAUCACGUAAUUUAUAGCCAACAAAAAGAGAUUCACAACCUUAGGUAAAUAAUUUGAGAUUUUACGUUGUUCCAGAAAAAGCGAAAACUGGAGUCAAAGCGGCUUAAAGUAUCAGCCAUCAUCAAUCUGCAGCGCUAGACAAAUGGAAUAUUUACAUUUCGAUUUAGAAUCGUUGCCAAAAAGCAGCUGACAGCUUUGCAAAUAUUUUUUGUUUAAAGCGGAAUAAAAGUGCUGAAUGGCAAACAUUUUGUUUAAAAUCAUUUUAACUCUAUACGAAUACGAAUGUGCUACAAAUCUUUAAGUCUAUCAAGAAAACCGCUGAACAGCGAACGGCAAUUGAAAUUGGCAAUGGCUGAGGAUAGGGCAAAAUAAAACCCCAAUUGAUUUAAAAUCCAGCCAAUAAAACUGCAACAAAAGCGAAGCAAAGUGAAAGCAAACAAGUUGCUUGCACGCCGAUAAAAUCAAAGGAAAAUGGGGGAGAAAUUUUAAAUAAAUUCGCGACGAGGUGAGGGUUCGGUGGAAAAGCACGCGGAAAAACAAUAAGAAACCGAAAGCUGCAAAUAUAAAAUCUAAAAUUGACCAUAAACCCAACGGUGGCCCAGAAAUGAAGAUAAGCGGCGAACGCGAAAAGGAAAACACCAAAUUGAUAUACGCUCCCUUUGUUUUUUGGGUCUGUGGAUGCUCAAUUUUUGCCAGGACGAGCCGUAAUUUGCUGGGAGGAUUCGGGCGAGAUGGCAGUGUCAUCAUAAUAAUUUAAAGUGGAACUGAUAAUCUUUGGCAGGCAAAAGUGUCCUUAGCUGGCAGGAAAAGUCGAAAAGGUGGCUGCAAACUGAAGGCGAAAGUGCUUAAAUAAAGCUGUUUUUGUUGCGUUCGCUUUGCGAGUAUCUCAGCCAUCUUUGGUAUUUUGGUUGCCAAAAUGUUCGCCAGCAUUUUCCAGAGACAAAACUCAUGUCACUCUGCUGAUGUUCAAGCUGUUGGCUUUUCGGGAACAACAUAAGUUUAGUUUAUUAUCAGUUUUAUGCUAAUCGAAUUGAAGACACUUGACACAGCUGUCACUGCCAGUUAAAGUUGCAAAUUUUAAC